GCACUUUGAAGAGAGAGUUAAAGAGGACGUGAAACCGAUGAGAUGGAAACGGACAGAGCUAGCGUAUCUGGCUUGCAUUCAGCUUAUGCGGUCGCUACCGAUGCGUCGCUGACCUCCAGAUUGGGGCUUUGACUAGUCGGUCGGUGGCUGUGUUGUGCAUUUGCAAGUGGAGUGCGUCGAGGCAUCUGGGAUGGCGGAAUGAACUUGGCUUUGAGGCCAGCUUGCUGGUACCCGGGCCUGGGGAUUUCUGUUCGUUCUAGGUGUUUUUGCGGUCGAACAAGGCUUUGCGAGCCUGGUUGGGUGCCGAGCUGGGUGUCGGUGGCGGUCGCAUGCGACACGUACUGUGCCACCAGUUCGGUCCUGGCCGAGCUCACUCCAUGUUCAAUCUCGGCGUAAAAGCUGGUCAUCUUUCCGACCCGUCUUGAAACACGGACCAAGGAGUUUAUCGUGUGCGCGAGUCAUUGGGCGUUGAAAACCCAAAGGCGCAAUGAAAGUAAAUGUAUCCGCUCGGAACUGAUGUGCGACCCUGGUCACUGCGGUGGCCAGGAGCAGCAUGGCCCCAUCCUGACUGCUUGCAGUGGGGUGGAGGAAGAGCGUACGCGAUGAGACCCGAAAGAUGGUGAACUAUUCCUGAGCAGGAUAAAGCCAGAGGAAACUCUGGUGGAAGUCCGAAGCGAUUCUGACGUGCAAAUCGAUCGUCUGACUU
RNAcentral lists this ribosomal RNA (706 nucleotides) under Pratylenchus hexincisus. Its description in RNAcentral is "eukaryotic LSU rRNA". It matches the Rfam family "Eukaryotic large subunit ribosomal RNA", at positions 371 to 912 of the family's 3401-position model. Lineage: Eukaryota; Metazoa; Nematoda; Chromadorea; Rhabditida; Pratylenchidae. The record is from RNAcentral.